Gossypium arboreum is the source of this 107-nucleotide non-coding RNA. The record is from Rfam. NCBI's taxonomy places the organism in Eukaryota, Viridiplantae, Streptophyta, Magnoliopsida, Malvales, Malvaceae.
AAUCCAUGGUAAGGACACCUUCUCAACAAAUCCUUGAGUCUUUCCCAUGUAUCAUAAAGAGUCUCAAUAUCAAACUGAACAAAAAAUGUCAUUCCUCAACUUAGUUA